GAUGAACGCUGGCGGCGUGCCUAAUACAUGCAAGUCGAACGAAACUUCUUUAUCACCGAGUGCUUGCACUCACCGAUAAAGAGUUGAGUGGCGAACGGGUGAGUAACACGUGGGCAACCUGCCCAAAAGGGGGGGAUAACACUUGGAAACAGGUGCUAAUACCGCAUAACCAUAGUUACCGCAUGGUAACUAUGUAAAAGGUGGCUAUACUACCGCUUUUGGAUGGGCCCGCGGCGCAUUAGCUAGUUGGUAGGGUAAAGGCUUACCAAGGCAAUGAUGCGUAGCCGAAUUGAGAGGUUGAUCGGCCACAUUGGGACUGAGACACGGCCCAAACUCCUAAGGGAGGCAGCAGUAGGGAAUCUUCCACAAUGGGCGAAAGCCUGAUGGAGCAACGCCGCGUGGGUGAAGAAGGUCUUCGGAUCGUAAAACCCUGUUGUUAGAGAAGAAAGUGCGUGAGAGUAACUGUUCACGUUUCGACGGUAUCUAACCAGAAAGCCACUGCUAACUACGUG
This 512-nucleotide ribosomal RNA is filed under the name uncultured bacterium. Its description in RNAcentral is "partial 16S ribosomal RNA". It matches the Rfam family "Bacterial small subunit ribosomal RNA", at positions 28 to 507 of the family's 1533-position model. The record is from RNAcentral.